AUUGAACGCUGGCGGCAUGCGUAACACAUGCAAGUCGAACGGUGUUUGGUGCUUGCACCAGACAUAGUGGCGGACGGGUGAGUAAUGCGUAGGAAUCUGUCUUAGAGAGGGGGACAACCCGAGGAAACUUGGGCUAAAACCGCAUAUUCUCGAGAGAGGAAAGCAGGGGACCGGAAACGGCCUUGUGCUCUAAGGUGAGCCUACGUCGGAUUAGCUAGUUGGUAGGGUAAAAGCCUACCAAGGCGAUGAUCUGUAGCUGGUCUGAGAGGACGGACAGCCACACUGGGACUGAGACACGGCCCAGACUCCUACGGGAGGCAGCAGUGGGGAAUAUUGGACAAUGGGGGGAACCCUGAUCCAGCGAUGCCGCGUGUGUGAAGAAGGCCUGCGGGUUGUAAAAGCACUUUCAGUGGGAAAGAGAAGCGUCUUGUGAAUAAUGGGACGUGGAGACGUUACUCACAGAAGAAGCACCGGCUAAACUCUGUGCCAGCAGCCGCGGU
Molecule: ribosomal RNA, 500 nt
Filed under: uncultured bacterium
Lineage: Bacteria
Description: bacterial SSU rRNA
Rfam family: Bacterial small subunit ribosomal RNA
Source: RNAcentral